GGCUGACAUGUUCCAUUCGUCUGAGUAAGGAAAAAGAUAGAAAAGGAAGUAAGAUUCGAGGUGCAUAACCAUUUAAGGGCAUCUACAAAUAUGGCCAUGUUUGAGGCGCUUUACGUUCGUCUAACGGAUGGAAUGCAUUAAGGCAGCCUAUCCUCCACUCUCUCUUCUGGUUUCCUCACGUCCCGAUGUUUGCAUUUUUGAUUCUCGUUUGUGAAGCUUCGGCCGAGUGCCAAUAAUUGUACGGAAGUGGUCUAACUAUAGUGGCAUCACGUGUUGGCAUAAUAAGUCUGGCAUACGUCUUCCAUCUCGUAGCUAUUGGGAUGAUGCAUUGAGAUUUCCCAGCCCAUUACUCCUAGAAAUAAAAGCAGCUGACAGCAUAAUGGAGCGAUAGAAAACACUGGAAGAAAAUGUCAUGGAAGAAGAAAAGGAAGAGAGCCUGGGACAGAUGGAAGAGGAGAGAAGUCAACAGCAGUUUUUUUUUAGAAGAAGAUGAGGGAAAGAAAACAAAAAAAGGCUGAAAAGAAAAAGAGGAAAAGGAUAAAGAAACGAGAGUUAAAGUGAAGGGAAAAAGAUGCCGAUAAUGGGAACGAUUUUAACGACGACCUGUAUGAUGACGACGAGUACGAUGAUUUUGACGUCAUGACCAGAUGGCCAGGAUAUUAGAGUCAGCAAGUGUCAAAAAGCUGUUUCCGAUGCAAAAUUCUAUGUUUCGUUGUAGAGAUGAGUUUGUUUGCAGCCUAGCUGCAAACAUUUCAUCAUGAAUAAAAUUUGAAGUUUUCACCUGUAAUUCAGAUCCAAUUUGCGAUGUUGACUGGAAAAUAAAUACAAAUAUUUUCGUGUCUUACGCUUAUUAUGGAUUCAUCUUCAUUCAUCGAGUAGGGCAU
This is a long non-coding RNA of Daphnia pulicaria, 884 nucleotides long. RefSeq lists it as uncharacterized. The transcript is spliced from 4 exons. The record is from RefSeq and is a predicted model, not a curated record. Lineage: Eukaryota; Metazoa; Arthropoda; Branchiopoda; Diplostraca; Daphniidae.